GAUGAACGCUGGCGGCGUGCCUAAUACAUGCAAGGCGAGCGAACAGACGAGGAGAUUGCUCCUCUGACGUUAGCGGCGGACGGGUGAGUAACACGUGGAUAACCUAACGAUAAUGCUGGGCUAACUUCGGGAAACCGGAGCUACUACCGGAUAAUAUAUUGAACCGCAUGGUUCAAUAGUGAAAGGCGGUUUUGCUGUCACUUAUAGAUGGAUCCGCGCCGCAUUAGCUAGUUGGUAAGGUAACGGCUUACCAAGGCAACGAUGCGUAGCCGACCUGAGAGGGUGAUCGGCCACACUGGAACUGAGACACGGUCCAGACUCCUACGGGAGGCAGCAGUAGGGAAUCUUCCGCAAUGGGCGAAAGCUUGACGGAGCAACGCCGCGUGAGUGAUGAAGGUCUUCGGAUCGUAAAACUCUGUUAUUAGGGAAGAACAAAUGUGUAAGUAACUAUGCACGUCUUGACGGUACCUAAUCAGAAAGCCACGGCUAACUACGUG
RNAcentral lists this ribosomal RNA (497 nucleotides) under uncultured bacterium. RNAcentral's name for it is "partial 16S ribosomal RNA". It matches the Rfam family "Bacterial small subunit ribosomal RNA", at positions 28 to 507 of the family's 1533-position model. The record is from RNAcentral.